RNAcentral lists this ribosomal RNA (1545 nucleotides) under Escherichia coli. RNAcentral's name for it is "partial 23S ribosomal RNA". It matches the Rfam family "Bacterial large subunit ribosomal RNA", at positions 165 to 1751 of the family's 2925-position model. The record is from RNAcentral. Lineage: Bacteria; Pseudomonadati; Pseudomonadota; Gammaproteobacteria; Enterobacterales; Enterobacteriaceae.
CAUAGGUUAAUGAGGCGAACCGGGGGAACUGAAACAUCUAAGUACCCCGAGGAAAAGAAAUCAACCGAGAUUCCCCCAGUAGCGGCGAGCGAACGGGGAGCAGCCCAGAGCCUGAAUCAGUGUGUGUGUUAGUGGAAGCGUCUGGAAAGGCGCGCGAUACAGGGUGACAGCCCCGUACACAAAAAUGCACAUGCUGUGAGCUCGAUGAGUAGGGCGGGACACGUGGUAUCCUGUCUGAAUAUGGGGGGACCAUCCUCCAAGGCUAAAUACUCCUGACUGACCGAUAGUGAACCAGUACCGUGAGGGAAAGGCGAAAAGAACCCCGGCGAGGGGAGUGAAAAAGAACCUGAAACCGUGUACGUACAAGCAGUGGGAGCACGCUUCGGCGUGUGACUGCGUACCUUUUGUAUAAUGGGUCAGCGACUUAUAUUCUGUAGCAAGGUUAACCGAAUAGGGGAGCCGAAGGGAAACCGAGUCUUAACUGGGCGUUAAGUUGCAGGGUAUAGACCCGAAACCCGGUGAUCUAGCCAUGGGCAGGUUGAAGGUUGGGUAACACUAACUGGAGGACCGAACCGACUAAUGUUGAAAAAUUAGCGGAUGACUUGUGGCUGGGGGUGAAAGGCCAAUCAAACCGGGAGAUAGCUGGUUCUCCCCGAAAGCUAUUUAGGUAGCGCCUCGUGAAUUCAUCUCCGGGGGUAGAGCACUGUUUCGGCAAGGGGGUCAUCCCGACUUACCAACCCGAUGCAAACUGCGAAUACCGGAGAAUGUUAUCACGGGAGACACACGGCGGGUGCUAACGUCCGUCGUGAAGAGGGAAACAACCCAGACCGCCAGCUAAGGUCCCAAAGUCAUGGUUAAGUGGGAAACGAUGUGGGAAGGCCCAGACAGCCAGGAUGUUGGCUUAGAAGCAGCCAUCAUUUAAAGAAAGCGUAAUAGCUCACUGGUCGAGUCGGCCUGCGCGGAAGAUGUAACGGGGCUAAACCAUGCACCGAAGCUGCGGCAGCGACGCUUAUGCGUUGUUGGGUAGGGGAGCGUUCUGUAAGCCUGUGAAGGUGUGCUGUGAGGCAUGCUGGAGGUAUCAGAAGUGCGAAUGCUGACAUAAGUAACGAUAAAGCGGGUGAAAAGCCCGCUCGCCGGAAGACCAAGGGUUCCUGUCCAACGUUAAUCGGGGCAGGGUGAGUCGACCCCUAAGGCGAGGCCGAAAGGCGUAGUCGAUGGGAAACAGGUUAAUAUUCCUGUACUUGGUGUUACUGCGAAGGGGGGACGGAGAAGGCUAUGUUGGCCGGGCGACGGUUGUCCCGGUUUAAGCGUGUAGGCUGGUUUUCCAGGCAAAUCCGGAAAAUCAAGGCUGAGGCGUGAUGACGAGGCACUACGGUGCUGAAGCAACAAAUGCCCUGCUUCCAGGAAAAGCCUCUAAGCAUCAGGUAACAUCAAAUCGUACCCCAAACCGACACAGGUGGUCAGGUAGAGAAUACCAAGGCGCUUGAGAGAACUCGGGUGAAGGAACUAGGCAAAAUGGUGCCGUAACUUCGGGAGAAGGCACGC